AGGAAAACGAAGAAGAAGAAGAAUAUAACAAAAAAAAAAAAAAAAAAACGUAUAAUAGAUAGAGAGGGGGAAUCGAACCAUCUGACCAUCUGACCAAGACAAUAUUUUCAAAAGUUAUGGAAAGAGAUUAAAUUUAUAAACUUAAAGACUUUGAGUUAAGUUUUAACUGCAAUUACCGUUUCCGUUAGCAAAGUUAACAGCCGUUAACACGGGAGUACGAUUUUACCAAAUUUUAAAAAACGAAGGUUUUAAAAGGCCACCUAAACUAAAUGCCGUAUUUUUAUCCCGAAUUUAAUAUUACACGUAUUAAACAGGCAAAAAAUUAUUUGAACACAUUAGAUUUUUAAA
This 348-nucleotide small RNA is filed under the name Arabidopsis thaliana (thale cress). RNAcentral's name for it is "ATSL045170". Lineage: Eukaryota; Viridiplantae; Streptophyta; Magnoliopsida; Brassicales; Brassicaceae. The record is from RNAcentral.